GGAAUCUUGCACAAUGGGCGCAAGCCUGAUGCAGCAACGCCGCGUGCGGGAAGAAGGCCUUAGGGUUGUAAACCGCUUUCAGUAGGGAAGAAAAUGACGGUACCUACAGAAGAAGGUGCGGCCAACUACGUGCCAGCAGCCGCGGUAACACGUAGGCACCAAGCGUUAUCCGGAUUUAUUGGGCGUAAAGAGCUCGUAGGCGGUUCAGUCAGUCGGGUGUGAAAACUUGAGGCUUAACCUCAAGAGGUCACUCGAUACUACUGUGACUAGAGUGCGGUAGGGGAGCGGGGAAUUCCUGGUGUACCGGUGAAAUGCGCAGAUAUCAGGAGGAACACCAGUGGCGAAGGCGCCGCUCUGGGCCGUAACUGACGCUGAGGAGCGAAAGCAUGGGUAGCAAACAGGAUUAGAUACCCUGGUAGUCCAUGCCGUAAACGUUGGGCACUAGGUGUGGGUCUCAACCAACGAGAUCCGCGCCGUCGCUAACGCAUUAAGUGCCCCGCCUGGGGAGUACGGUCGCAAGACU
This 523-nucleotide ribosomal RNA is filed under the name uncultured Actinomycetes bacterium. Its description in RNAcentral is "bacterial SSU rRNA". It matches the Rfam family "Bacterial small subunit ribosomal RNA", at positions 358 to 895 of the family's 1533-position model. Lineage: Bacteria; Bacillati; Actinomycetota; Actinomycetes. The record is from RNAcentral.